GACGAACGCUGGCGGCGUGCUUAACACAUGCAAGUCGAACGGAAAGGCCCUGCUUUUGUGGGGUGCUCGAGUGGCGAACGGGUGAGUAACACGUGAGUAACCUGCCCUUGACUUUGGGAUAACUUCAGGAAACUGGGGCUAAUACCGGAUAGGAGCUCCUGCUGCAUGGUGGGGGUUGGAAAGUUUCGGCGGUUGGGGAUGGACUCGCGGCUUAUCAGCUUGUUGGUGGGGUAGUGGCUUACCAAGGCUUUGACGGGUAGCCGGCCUGAGAGGGUGACCGGCCACAUUGGGACUGAGAUACGGCCCAGACUCCUACGGGAGGCAGCAGUGGGGAAUAUUGCACAAUGGGCGGAAGCCUGAUGCAGCAACGCCGCGUGCGGGAUGACGGCCUUCGGGUUGUAAACCGCUUUCGCCUGUGACGAGGCGUGAGCGACGGUAAUGGGUAAAGAAGCACCGGCUAACUACGUG
This 468-nucleotide ribosomal RNA is filed under the name uncultured bacterium. Its description in RNAcentral is "partial 16S ribosomal RNA". It matches the Rfam family "Bacterial small subunit ribosomal RNA", at positions 28 to 507 of the family's 1533-position model. The record is from RNAcentral.